RNAcentral lists this ribosomal RNA (675 nucleotides) under Bacillus tequilensis. RNAcentral describes it as "bacterial SSU rRNA". It matches the Rfam family "Bacterial small subunit ribosomal RNA", at positions 39 to 701 of the family's 1533-position model. Lineage: Bacteria; Bacillati; Bacillota; Bacilli; Caryophanales; Bacillaceae. The record is from RNAcentral.
AUGGGGCAGCUAUAAUGCAGUCGAGCGGACAGAUGGGAGCUUGCUCCCUGAUGUUAGCGACGGACGGAUGAGUAACACGUGGGUAACCUGCCUGUAAGACUGGGAUAACUCCGGGAAACCGGGGCUAAUACCGGAUGGUUGUUUGAACCGCAUGGUUCAAACGAAAGAGGUGGCUUCGGCUACCACUUACGGAUGGACCCGCGGCGCAUUAUCUAGUUGGUGAGGUAAUGGCUCACCAAGGCAACGAUGCGUAGCCGACCUGAGAGGGUGAUCGGGCACACUGGGACUGAGACACGGCCCAAACUCCUACGGGAGGGGCAGUAGGGAAUCUUCCGCAAUGGACUGAGUCUGACGGAGCAACUCCGCGUGAGUGAUGAAGGUUUUCGGAUCGUAAAGCUCUGUUGUUAGGGAAUAACAAGUACCGUUCGAAUAGGGCGGUACCUUGACGGUACCUAACCAGAAAGCCACGGCUAACUACGUGCCAGCAGCCGCGGUAAUACGUAGGUGGCAAGCGUUGUCCGGAAUUAUUGGGCGUAAAGGGCUCGCACGCGGUUUCUUAUGUCUGAUGUGAAAGCCCCCGGCUCAACCGGGGAGGGUCAUUGGAAACUGGGGAACUUGAGAGCAGAAUAGGAUAGUGCAAUUCCACGUGUAGCGGUGAAAUGCGUAGAGAUGUGC